UGGAGAUGCUUGAGUUAAAGGGGGAGAUCCAUUUCUGCGCAGCUGCUACUGGUUCUUUCAUCGAGUGGCUGCAGAUUCAGUUUGGGUGUUGAUUUUGGGCAUCUAUUUGUGCUGGACCAGCUGUAAAUGGGUGGAGAAGCUCCAUUUUUCUCCACAGCAAACUUUGGAUUUCUUCAUCAAAGGGUGUGGAUUUUGUUGUGGAUCAAGGUAGCCUGUAGAUGGUUGGUGUCGCUCGGAGUAUCCUGUCUGCCGGGUCCUACGUCAC
Zingiber officinale is the source of this 265-nucleotide long non-coding RNA. RefSeq lists it as uncharacterized. Lineage: Eukaryota; Viridiplantae; Streptophyta; Magnoliopsida; Zingiberales; Zingiberaceae. The transcript has 3 exons. The record is from RefSeq and is a predicted model, not a curated record.